RNAcentral lists this non-coding RNA (30 nucleotides) under Mus musculus (house mouse). The record is from RNAcentral. Lineage: Eukaryota; Metazoa; Chordata; Mammalia; Rodentia; Muridae.
UCCAAAAUACUAGCGAAUCUAAAAUAAAAU